AAGGUCCUGUUUUGUUCGCGGACCGUUGCUUAUAUAACCCUACACUUUUAAUUUUUGGGGCAAUACUCUCGUGUAAUGGGAAUGCAGACCUCCCGCGGCUGUGCCGAGUUCGGAAGAAGGGAGCUCGAAGUUACGCGGUGUGCACCCACCUGCUGUACUGCAGGUUAUCAUUAAGCACUUUACGGCAAAACGGGAUCUCG
Molecule: non-coding RNA, 200 nt
Filed under: Clostridia bacterium
Lineage: Bacteria; Bacillati; Bacillota; Clostridia
Description: 6S RNA
Rfam family: 6S / SsrS RNA
About the family: E. coli 6S RNA was the first non coding RNA to be sequenced, but its function was unknown until recently. It consists of 184 nucleotides that fold into an extended hairpin structure with a large single-stranded internal bulge.
Source: RNAcentral